This 217-nucleotide long non-coding RNA is filed under the name Gallus gallus (chicken). The record is from RNAcentral. Lineage: Eukaryota; Metazoa; Chordata; Aves; Galliformes; Phasianidae.
GUUAUUCCAAAUGCAUUCUCUCCCAGCUGCAACAGUUUAAGUAAUUCACUAUUUUUUGAGGAGAUGUGAAUAGGGAUAAAAGCGGGAAGAACUGAGCACUGCUGAUGAUAUACUGCACUUUGUGGGAAUCCAGCCUACAGGGACAGCUUUACAAGCCAUCACAGGCUUCAGGCAUCUAUUUUUAUCGAACUGAACAAUUGUUGCUCAGAAAAAGGAG